GUGAUACCCGGCAGGGGUUGCAGGUCAGGGGGUUGUGGGACGUGUCUGUGGGGUCUGCCGGCCUUGCGACGUGUACGCGCAGUGGUAGUCGAAGCCGUGGUGAGUGCGGUGGCGUAGAGGGUGUGACCCCCGUAGACGAAACCAGUGCGUGGCGUGACGCUGUUCCCGAGUAGCACCGGGCCCGUGAAAUCCGGUGUGAAUCUGCCAGGACCACCUGGUAAGCCUGAAUACUACCUUGUGACCGAUAGCGGACAAGUACCGUGAGGGAAAGGUGAAAAGCACCCCGGGAGGGGAGUGAAAUAGUACCUGAAACCGUGCGCUUACAAUCCGUCGGAGCCUUGAGGGGUGACGGCGUGCCUUUUGAAGAAUGAGCCUGCGAGUUAGUGGUCGGUGGCGAGGUUAACCCGUGUGGGGUAGCCGUAGCGAAAGCGAGUCUGAACGGGGCGUUCAGUCGCCGGCUCUAGACCCGAAGCGAAGUGAUCUAUCCAUGGGCAGUGUGAAGCGCGGGUAAGACCGCGUGGAGGCGCGAACCCACUUCAGUUGAAAAUGGAGGGGAUGACCUGUGGAUAGGGGUGAAAGGCCAAUCAAACUUCGUGAUAGCUGGUUCUCCCCGAAAUGCAUUUAGGUGCAGCGUUGCGUGUUUCGUGCCGGAGGUAGAGCACUGGAUAGGCGAUGGGCCCCACCGGGUUACUGACCUUAGCCAAACUCCGAAUGCCGGUACGUGAGAGCGCAGCAGUGAGACUGUGGGGGAUAAGCUUCAUGGUCGAGAGGGAAACAGCCCAGAACAUCAGCUAAGGCCCCUAAGCGUGUGCUAAGUGGAAAAGGAUGUGGAGUUGCUGAGACAACCAGGAGGUUGGCUUAGAAGCAGCCACCCUUGAAAGAGUGCGUAAUAGCUCACUGGUCAAGUGAUUCUGCGCCGACAAUGUAGCGGGGCUCAAGCACACCGCCGAAGCUGUGUCACUCAGGAUUUGUCCUGGGGUGGGUAGGGGAGCGUCGUACAGCCGGUGAAGCCGCGGGGGAACCCAGUGGUGGAGGCUGUACGAGUGAGAAUGCAGGCAUGAGUAGCGAAAGACGGGUGAGAAACCCGUCCGCCGAUUGAUCAAGGGUUCCAGGGCCAGGUUUAUCCGCCCUGGGUUAGUCGGGACCUAAGGCGAGGCCGACAGGCGUAGUCGAUGGACAUCGGGUUGAUAUUCCCGAACCGAUCGUAGGAGGACCCAUACCGAGGCGGCUGAUGCUAACCACCCGAGCUGUCACCGCACCCUUCGGGGUGUGGAUGGUGGUGAGGCUGGGAACCAAGGUCGUAGUAGGUCAGCGCGUGGGAUGACGCAGAGAGGUAGCUUCCGCGGACUUAAUGGAAUAGUCCGUCUAAGCGUGCAGCCCGGCCCCGGGUAAUGCUGGGGCCAUGAGGGUGAGACGUGAUGGGGAUCCCGUAUGGGCGUAGGUGAGUGAUCCUGUACUGCCUAGAAAAGUUCCGGCGUGACGAAUACGGUCGCCCGUACCCUAAACCGACUCAGGUGAUCAGGUAGAGAAUACCGAGGCGUUCGAGAGAAUCGUGGUUAAGGAACUCGGCAAAAUGCCCCCGUAACUUCGGAGAA
This 1595-nucleotide ribosomal RNA is filed under the name Lonsdalea populi. RNAcentral describes it as "bacterial LSU rRNA". It matches the Rfam family "Bacterial large subunit ribosomal RNA", at positions 268 to 1744 of the family's 2925-position model. The record is from RNAcentral. Lineage: Bacteria; Pseudomonadati; Pseudomonadota; Gammaproteobacteria; Enterobacterales; Pectobacteriaceae.